Long non-coding RNA from Cercocebus atys (sooty mangabey), 720 nucleotides. RefSeq lists it as uncharacterized. The transcript has 3 exons. The record is from RefSeq and is a predicted model, not a curated record. Lineage: Eukaryota; Metazoa; Chordata; Mammalia; Primates; Cercopithecidae.
CUCGCCCGGGGCAGGAGGCGGCCUGGGGGCAGCCACCGCCCUCUCCCGGCUUUCUCAGCGCGCAUGGGACACCGGCUUUCUGACAUAUUUACAGCUCAGCGGUUCUCAAGAGUUUUGUUUCUCCAGUGGAAGUAACAGGCUGACUUUAUAGGGACGCGCAGCCGUCCAUAUAUGCGUAUAGUAUUCAGAGGUUCUUUCUGUAAGGACCGAUUUGGAAGACUCGUGAGGAAACAGUGUUCUUUAAGCAAACAUUGGCAAUGGAUUUAAAUGCUCAGAAUUUGAACAAAUCAACGACUGCAGGUGAAAUUAACUUGCUAACUGUAAAAUAUAUUAUUCAACAUUGAAACAGGAAAUCCCACAUGAGCACAUGUCUUUCCUCAAGAGGACUAAGCCUCGCCAUCACUCAGGAGACCCUGGAUUCAAGAGCUGCCUAACAUCUAGAAACUUGGCAAAAUAAAAUGAAAACAAGGACAUGCUUUCUCAUGGAAUACGGAAUCAUAUUUAGUAAGAUAAGUAAUUUCGCAUCCCUACUAUAUAGUAAUAUGUAAGUAUUUCUAAAGAAGGCUUAUAUCUUUUUGCCACAAUUUCUGGAAGAAUUGAGAGAAUUAAUUCAGGUUUGUGCAACAACUGGGUGGUAAAACCAGAAAUGUAAUUUCUUUUUUUUUUUUUUUUGAGAUGGAGUCUCGUUCUUGUCACCCAGGCUGGAGUGCAAUGGCAUGA